CCUCCAGUCUGAGGAAACAAGACCAGCUGAGGAUCCGGCGAGGUCCUCUGCUCCAGUGUCUCCACCGUGGUCCAGACUAUCAGCUGCCACUUCAUUCCUCAUUCACCUUCACCUUUGGAUCUGCCCUAGAUGGCUCAUCUUGCCAAACUUCACACUGAAACCACUGCCAGUGAUAUCGUACGAUGUGAGCUUUAUGCAGUUGAGGGGCAAUGUCUUUCCUGUCCUUGCGACUACUCUCUCUAGACUGAGUCAAAUGCCUUGAGAGCUAAUCAUGUGCCUCCUUUUGCCAUUCUUUUUUCUGCUAUGGGUUGAAGAAUUGGGAGGCUCUCUUCUGGACCAUGCACUGGCCUUUCAAACUCUGAGUCAAUUUAAACUUCCUCUCUUAGCUGGGCGGUGGUGGGGCACGACUUCAGUCCCAGCACUCGGGAGGCAGAGGCAGGCAGAUCUCUGUGAGUCCCUUCUCUUCCUUCUCAGGUAAUAACAGAAAGCAGACUAAGACAGUCUCCAUCCAGAAACCAGGAUGAUUUCUUCUAUGGAAAACCAGGCUUUGCCACUCCCAUUUUUACCCACAACAACCUCCAUUGGGGGUCUAGUAAGAUCCAAGUUCUCAUCCAGGCCUGGGAGUCCACAUGACCAGCCCAGCGCCUGCCAUUCUCUCAUAGCCCACUGUUCCUGCACAGAUAGAUACCUAAUCUGUUCCUCUCGCACACAGCUCUUUCCUGACCCUGGGCCUUUGCACAUGCUGUUCUUCUGGCUGGAUUCUCUUCCCCUGUGUUUCUGCAGGGUUGAUGCUUUCUGAUCCUGUGUGUCCACAUGAUGGCUUUUGCCCCACCCACAGAAUGGGCACUCCGUAAGACGACUACUGGGGUGACAAGUCCUUUAUUUGCACAUAUGGUUCUGAGCCACAUUGAGACGUGAGGCGUUUGCAGCCAUUCUCCACCCCAGCCAAGUUCCCAUGUGGCAGUCUGGAAAAGAGUACACUAUGCAGUCUUCAUAGUGUCUACAUGUCCAAAUACCGUUUGCUGAGAGCCUGAGAAGAAAUGGAGCCCACAGAUGUCACCAGAGCUCAGUCACCUUAGGGCCCUUGGCCCACCACUUGGCAAGACUCUUCCAGAUCUGCAGACUUUCUGACCAAGUCUGAAAGCUCCUGUCUGCACAGAAUAUGUGGGGUGGCCCAGCAGUCACUCAGCAGGUUUGACAGAUAUAGGUGAUGGACGCCACUCCACACUCCUGAUCCCACCCCACCCCGAGACAGCCAAAGCUGCUUCUUCAUCACACAGGGACUCCUGUCCUGACACAUUCCCGUAGGCUAUGAUGGUCUGUGAGCUGUGCUCCCUCGGGCAAGUCACUCAACCUCUCCAGUCUCAAUCCCCCUUCCCCCAAAAAAGAUCAAAAGGGGCUGGCAUGGUGGUACACGCCCUCAGUCCCAGCACUUAGGAAGUAGAGGCAGGAUCUCUGUGAGCUCAAGGCUAG
Long non-coding RNA from Peromyscus leucopus (white-footed mouse), 1473 nucleotides. RefSeq lists it as uncharacterized. The record is from RefSeq and is a predicted model, not a curated record. The transcript is spliced from 4 exons. Lineage: Eukaryota; Metazoa; Chordata; Mammalia; Rodentia; Cricetidae.